Molecule: non-coding RNA, 23 nt
Filed under: Arabidopsis thaliana (thale cress)
Lineage: Eukaryota; Viridiplantae; Streptophyta; Magnoliopsida; Brassicales; Brassicaceae
Source: RNAcentral
ACCAGGAGUAGUCAGACCGCCUG